RNAcentral lists this ribosomal RNA (433 nucleotides) under uncultured bacterium. RNAcentral's name for it is "bacterial SSU rRNA". It matches the Rfam family "Bacterial small subunit ribosomal RNA", at positions 29 to 507 of the family's 1533-position model. The record is from RNAcentral.
AACGAACGCUGGCGGCAUGCCUAACACAUGCAAGUCGAACGAGACCUUCGGGUCUAGUGGCGCACGGGUGCGUAACGCGUGGGAAUCUGCCCUUGGGUUCGGAAUAACACAGAGAAAUUUGUGCUAAUACCGGAUGAUGACGAAAGUCCAAAGAUUUAUCGCCCAAGGAUGAGCCCGCGUAGGAUUAGGUAGUUGGUGGGGUAAAGGCCCACCAAGCCGACGAUCCUUAGCUGGUCUGAGAGGAUGAUCAGUCACACUGGGACUGAGACACGGCCCAGACUCCUACGGGAGGCAGCAGUGGGGAAUAUUGGACAAUGGGCGAAAGCCUGAUCCAGCAAUGCCGCGUGAGUGAUGAAGGCCUUAGGGUUGUAAAGCUCUUUUACCAGGGAUGAUAAUGACAGUACCUGGAGAAUAAGCUCCGGCUAACUCCGUG